GCAGGGAGCUGGAUGGAAAGUGGAACAGCUGGGAUAUGAACCAGCACUCCUAUAGGAUCCUGGUGUGUGCAAGGCAAGGACUUCAGCUACUUGGCUACUAUUCUGGACCCUCAAAUACAAAAUUCCAAUAUGAUUUUAAAAUGACAUCUGCUUGCUUUUCAUCUCUAUCCCUUCAUUCACACUACAGUUCUGAGGAAAUGGCCUUUUCUCAAAACUUAAGAAUCCCUUCAUUGAAAGCUUUUUCUAAGAGUUCUAAAAUGUAGAUGAAGUGCCAUUGUAUGCUUUUCCAUUGUUUCCAAUAUUUCUCUUGUAGAUUUAUACUGGAUUAUGGUUCUGUUUUUAUUUAAUUUUGUUUUUCUUUGAACAGCCACACAAAAAGGCAAGGGACUCAUAGCUUGUUCACUGUUAAGUGCUCAGUACCUUCUUCAUGGUGUAUACUUGUUUGUAAUAUGGUAAGUUUUUGAUUGCCUAACCCUGAGCCAUGUUUGCUUCUUAUAAAAACUGUUAAGGGGCAUUUGGCUCUGUGAAUAGGAUGCUUGCAUCUCAUAAUAAAAGAGAGUCUGAUUCCUG
Ochotona princeps (American pika) is the source of this 570-nucleotide long non-coding RNA. RefSeq lists it as uncharacterized. NCBI's taxonomy places the organism in Eukaryota, Metazoa, Chordata, Mammalia, Lagomorpha, Ochotonidae. The transcript is spliced from 2 exons. The record is from RefSeq and is a predicted model, not a curated record.